AGUGAACGCUGACGGUAGGCCUAACACAUGCAAGUCGAACGGCAGCACAGUAAGAGCUUGCUCUUACGGGUGGCGAGUGGCGGACGGGUGAGGAAUACAUCGGAAUCUACUUUUUCGUGGGGGAUAACGUAGGGAAACUUACGCUAAUACCGCAUACGACCUACGGGUGAAAGCAGGGGAUCUUCGGACCUUGCGCGAUUGAAUGAGCCGAUGUCGGAUUAGCUAGUUGGCGGGGUAAAGGCCCACCAAGGCGACGAUCCGUAGCUGGUCUGAGAGGAUGAUCAGCCACACUGGAACUGAGACACGGUCCAGACUCCUACGGGAGGCAGCAGUGGGGAAUAUUGGACAAUGGGCGCAAGCCUGAUCCAGCCAUACCGCGUGGGUGAAGAAGGCCUUCGGGUUGUAAAGCCCUUUUGUUGAGAAAGAAAAGCAGCAGGUUAAUACCCCGCUGUUCUGACGGUACCCAAAGAAUAAGCACCGGCUAACUUCGUG
Molecule: ribosomal RNA, 492 nt
Filed under: uncultured bacterium
Lineage: Bacteria
Description: partial 16S ribosomal RNA
Rfam family: Bacterial small subunit ribosomal RNA
Source: RNAcentral